GACGAACGCUGGCGGUGUGCUUAACACAUGCAAGUGGUGCGACGAACCAGAGCUUGCUCUGGGGCAAAGCCGCGAACGGGUGAGUAACACGUGGGUAAUCUACCCCGAUGACCGGGACAACCCGAGGAAACUCGGGCUAAUACCGGAUGUGGUACGGAGACAUAAGUCUCUUUACUAAAGGUAGCUUCGGCUUCCGCAUUGGGAGGGCCCGCGGCCCAUUAGCUAGUUGGUGGGGUCAAGGCCUACCAAGGCAACGAUGGGUAGCUGGUCUGAGAGGACGAUCAGCCACACUGGGACUGAGACACGGCCCAGACUCCUACGGAGGCAGCAGUGGGGAAUC
This 340-nucleotide ribosomal RNA is filed under the name uncultured bacterium. RNAcentral's name for it is "bacterial SSU rRNA". It matches the Rfam family "Bacterial small subunit ribosomal RNA", at positions 28 to 363 of the family's 1533-position model. The record is from RNAcentral.